CAAAAACGACGAGUUUCUUGUUAUUCUUGCUAGCAAUCUGGCCAUCCAGAAUCUCACAUUGUUUUCGUGAAGUUGUCAGCCAGCCCCUCUAUGUUUGUCCUGAUACACAAGUGUGCAAUGGAAAUGCUUUUUUACAUAUCCCAACUCACCCGCAGGGAGUGAGGUCAUGGCCAGGUCUACUUGCACAGCGACAUUAUCUUUAUCUGCUCCAGGAUUCUUGGUUACUGGCCCAACGCUCUAACCUCGAGGCUAACUGUCGUCUCAGGGCAGUUCUGAGGUUCAUCACUCGACUGGGGCAGUUCUGAGGUUCAUCACUCGACUGGGGCAGUUCUGAGGUUCAUCACUCCAGUGGGGCAGUUCUGAGGUUCAUCACUCCAGUGGGGCAGUUCUGAGCUGAUGCAGAACAGACGUCUUCCCAUUACAUUUGACUGAUCUGGUCCUCUGUGCAUUUACCAUAGCACACACGUCUCUCUCUCUCUCUCACUCACUCACUCACUCACUCACUCACUCACUCACACACACAACAUCACCCUUCUCACACUACCCUCCCAUGAGUGAUGAGUCCCAUAUCAGGCGUGAGCCAAAUAUUUCCAAGGGCCAUUUGACUUUGUGACUUUGUGUAAGGGAGUGCGUAACUGGCGGCAGGGAAGUCAGGCGCAGGAGAGCAAAACUGGGUAAUCAACAGAGCAGUUUUAUUCAUAAAAACCACCAGAAACCAGAACAGCAAACAAAUGGGUAUAAAACCCGUCGCGCACCAGAGAAAACAUGCACUUACAAUAAACAUUUCCGCACAAAGACAUGGGGGGGAACAGAGGGUUAAAUACACAACAUGUAAUGAGGGAAAUGAGACCAGGUGUGUGGGUAGACAAAACAAAAGGAAAAUGAAAGUCGAUCCAUGAUGGCUAGAAGACCGCCGAGCGCCGCCCGAACAAGGAGAGGAACCGACUUCGGUGGAAGUCGUUACACUUUGUGCAACUCCAACAAGACAUUUAACCAGGUGGCAAAGAUGAAGC
RNAcentral lists this long non-coding RNA (1013 nucleotides) under Salmo salar (Atlantic salmon). RNAcentral's name for it is "lncRNA (ENSSSAG00000089782.1)". The record is from RNAcentral. Lineage: Eukaryota; Metazoa; Chordata; Actinopteri; Salmoniformes; Salmonidae.